GAGUUUGAUCCUGGCUCAGGAUGAACGCUGGCGGCGUGCCUAAUACAUGCAAGUCGAGCGAACAGAUAAGGAGCUUGCUCCUUUGAAGUUAGCGGCGGACGGGUGAGUAACACGUGGGUAACCUACCUAUAAGACUGGGAUAACUUCGGGAAACCGGAGCUAAUACCGGAUAACAUUUAGAACCGCAUGGUUCUAAAGUGAAAGAUGGUUUUGCUAUCACUUAUAGAUGGACCCGCGCCGUAUUAGCUAGUUGGUAAGGUAACGGCUUACCAAGGCAACGAUACGUAGCCGACCUGAGAGGGUGAUCGGCCACACUGGAACUGAGACACGGUCCAGACUCCUACGGGAGGCAGCAGUAGGGAAUCUUCCGCAAUGGGCGAAAGCCUGACGGAGCAACGCCGCGUGAGUGAUGAAGGUCUUCGGAUCGUAAAACUCUGUUAUUAGGGAAGAACAAAUGUGUAAGUAACUGUGCACGUCUUGACGGUACCAAAUCAGAAAGCCACGGCUAACUACGUGCC
RNAcentral lists this ribosomal RNA (518 nucleotides) under uncultured bacterium. RNAcentral's name for it is "bacterial SSU rRNA". It matches the Rfam family "Bacterial small subunit ribosomal RNA", at positions 9 to 509 of the family's 1533-position model. The record is from RNAcentral.